GGAGAGAAGGGAGUUUCCCAACCCUCUUCCACUACUGCAGGUUGAGCCUCCGCUACAGCAGGCUGAUCCCGAGCCACCCCGGCACGAGCCUGCUCCUCCACAGUACCACCCGGCACCACUGCCGCAGUACAACACGGUGCCCCAGCCACGGUACUACACGGCACCGCCACAACACGACCCAGUGCCCCCAGCACAUCAGCAGGUGCCACCACAGGACCCCCCAGUCUAUCCCCAGCCGGGUCCAGUCCCUCCUCCAUGGGACUCCGCUCCUUCCUUGAUCGACCCGGGCUACAUAGAGAGGUACAGGAGACUGAACCCCUCCACCUUUGCAGGGGGAUCCUUUUUUGAAGAGGCCCAGUACUGGCUGGCGAAGACUGAGAGAGCUUUCAGGAUCUUGGGAGUAGUUCCUGAGCAGAGAGCUACCCUUGCUUCCUUCAUGCUGGUAGGGGAAGCAGGAUGUUGGUGGGAGCUCAAGUAGGCCACCCUACCUACACCAGUCACUUGGGAGCAGUUUCUAGCGGCCUUCCAUGCGAAGUAUUUCCCUGAGCACAUCCGAGACCUAAAGGAAACGGAGUUUGUUCAACUAGUUCAAGGAAACAUGACAGUAUCUGAAUAUGCUAGUAAGUUCCUAGAGCUCGGCCGAUACUCCCCGGAGACAUUGAUGGAUGAGGGCCGAAAGGCCAGGAGAUUCCAGUCAGGUCUCCGCUCAGAGAUCAAGCAACACUUGGUAGUACUGGAGCUCAAGACAUAUUCAACAGUCCUAGCAAAGGCACAGAUCGUGGAAAGAAGCUUCAGCACCCGUCCUCAACCAGGAGGGAGUUCCUGACCCUCAGCUCCGUUCCGCAGGCCAGCACCUACGGCGCCUGCCCAACCAAACAAGAGGCUCAGACCAGUUAUCCAGGCCCCUCCUCAGGCUUCAGGGGCAGCACGUGGGAAAAUCUAUCAACACUGCGGCAGAGAUCACGGGGACCGACCCUGCUACCGCCUUAACAACACUUGUCGCAUUUGUGGCAGUGUCCAGCAUUAUGCCAGAGAAUGCCCGAGGAACCAGAAUCAAGGGAGGCCUCCUAUCCAGGGCAGAGCUUACAACCUUACCCAGCAGGAUGCUGACGCCGACCCGGAUAUGGUACAGGGUAUGUAUACUAUCUGUGACCAUAUUGCUCAUAUUUUAUUUGACACUGGUGCAUCGCACUCUUUUGUUUCACAUGCUUUUGCUUCCAAAAUUAAUGUAUCACCUGAUAAACUUGAAUCAUUGUUAUUUGUGUCUACUGCCGGGAGUGAAACACUACUAGGGAAAGCUAUUUAUAGGGCUUGUGCCGUAGAGAUAGCAAAUAGAAAACUGAGUGUAAACCUGAUAGGGUUAGACAUGGGGGAUUUUGAUGUAAUCUUAGGAAUGAAUUGGCUAGCGGCGUAUCACGCCACCAUAGAUUGCUUCAACAAGAAAGUUGUAUUUAAUCCUCCUAACGAGGAGCCAUUUACAAAUUAAUAAAAUUAUUCAGUACGUAUUCCUUGAUGGCAAGUUUUCUUAACUUCUAGUGCCUUAAUCUUGUUGUUUUCUCUGACUAGGCAAGCCUAAGAAGGAAAUUUGUAUUCAAGAGAUUCUUGUAGUCCGAGACUUCCCAGAUGUGUUUUUGGACGAACUGCCCAGUCUGCCAGUGGACAGAGAAGUCGAGUUCACUAUAGACCUACAGCCAGGUACCCAGCCCAUUUCGGUUGCUCCUUACCGCAUGAGCUGCAUUGAGAUGGAAAAGCUGAGGAAACAGAUCACUGAAUUGCAAGACAGUGGUUUUAUUAGACACAGUGUGUCCCCUUGGGGUGCUGGAGUCACUUUUGCAAGGAAGGGAGAUGGAACGUUGAGACUAUGCAUUGAUUACAGAGGAUUGAACAAGGUCACGAUCAAAAACAAGUAUCCCUUUCCCCGGAUUGAUGACCUCUUUGAUCAGCUGCAGGGUGCACAAGUCUUCUCUAAAAUAGACCUACGAUCAGGUUACCACCAGAUGAAGAUAAGAACAGAAGACAUCCCCAAGGACGGCCUUCCGAACCAGGUACGGACACUAUGAGUUCCUGGUCAUGUCAUUCGUGCUAACCAAUGCCCUGGCAAUCUUUAUGGAUCUGAUGAACAGGGUCUUCAGAGAGUUCUUGGAUUAAUUUUUCAUCGUGUUCAUCGAUGAUAUCUUAGUCUACUCAAAAAGUAAAGAAGAACAUGCUCACCAUCUGGCCCAAGUUUUGCAGGUCCUUAGAAACAAGAGGUUAUAUGCGAAGUUGAGUAAGUGUGGAUUCUGGCUUGAGCAGACUGCCUUCUUAGGACACAUCAUAUCGAAGGAAGGGGUGUCAGUGAAUCCUGAAAAGGUUGAAAUGGUACUUGGUUGGGAGAAGCUGACAUCAGUUAAGGAAAUUCGUAGCUUCCUGGGAAUGGCAGGUUAUUACCGCAGGUUUGUUGAAGGAUUCUCCAAUCUAGCAGCUCCUCUAACCCGAAUCACAAAGAAGAAUGCCAAGUUUGAGUGGAAUGAAGACUGCGAAAGAAAUUUUUCAGAAUUAAAGAAAUGGCUGACCACUGCACCCGUGCUGGCUUUACUGAGUGGAUCGGGAGGAUAUACAGUUUAUAGUGAUGCCUCUUAUCUGGGCCUGGGUUGUGUCCUGAUGCAGCAUGGAAAGGUUAUAGCAUACGGGUCUAGACAGUUAAAGAAUCAUGAGAAGAAUUAUCCCACCCAUGACUUGGAACUUGCCACAAUCAUUCAUGCCUUGAAAACCUGGCGCCAUUAUUUGUACGAAGAGACCUUUCAGAUCUAUACCGAUCACAAGAGUUUGAAACACAUAUUCACUCAAAAGGAUCUCAACAUGCGUUAGAGAAGGUGGAUGGAACUCCUUAAGGACUAUGAUUGUGACAUCUUAUACCAUCCGGGUAAGGGCAACGUGGUAGCAGAUGCCCUCAGCAGGAAAAGUGCAAGUAUCUUAGCCCAUUUGAUGGUUUCAGACUGCAGACCAAUUGGGGCCACACAAUAGGUUCAAAUUCAUGAUCUGAAGAGAGUCACAUGUUUGGGCCGCCUGACAGUCCGGCCCAAGUUAAUUCAGAGAAUAAGGGAAGCCCAGAUAGUUGACCCUACCCUGGUAGCCCGCAAGAAGGAUGCAGAACAGGGAGGGAGCUCAGAAUUUCGAAUAUCUACCGAUGGACUACUUUGUUUCCCAAGACAGGGUGUGUGUCCCAGAUGACAGUGAGUUAAAAAGGGACAUCAUGACGAAGUCCCAUAGCUCGAAGUUUGCCAUGCAUCCAGGAAGCACCAAAAUGUACCAAAGCAUGCGACCCCGGUUUUGGUGGCAUGGGAUGAAGAGAGACAUAGCCGACUUUGUAUCUAAAUGUUUGGUAUGUCAGCAGGUCAAGGCAGAGCAUCAGUGCCCAGGUGGGUUACUUCAGCCUUUAUCGAUCCCGUAGUGGAAGUGGGAACAUAUCACCAUGGACUUCGUAUCGGGGCUACCCAAGGCAAGUUCAGGACACGAUGCCAUAUGGGUAAUCGUUGACUGACUUACCAAGUCUUCCCACUUCCUAGCCAUCAGGAUGACCGAUUCAUUGGACAAGUUGGCAAUGAUGUAUAUCCGGGAGAUAGUCAGAUUGCAUGGAGUUCCAGUGACAGUAGUGUCCGAUAGGGAUCCCAAGUUCACUUCUCAGUUUUGGAGCAGCUUCCAGCAAGCUAUGGGAACAAAGCUAUCUCUUAGUACUGCUUUCCAUCCCCAGACUGAUGGACAAUCAGAGAGGACAAUUCGUACGCUUGAGGAUAUGCUCCGAGCUUGUGUCCUUGACUCCGGGGGCCAUUGGGACGACCAUCUGCCCCUGAUAGAGUUUGCCUACAACAACAGCUACCAAGCAAGCAUCGACAUGGCUCCAUAUGAGGCGUUAUAUGGGCGCUCGUGCAGAUCACCGAUUUGCUGGGAGGAAGUGGGCGAUAGAAGAUUGUUCGGCCCGGAGUUGGUAGAGGAGACCACGUCCAAGAUAGUUAAAAUAAAGAAUAACAUUCAGACAGCUCAAAGUAGGCAGAAGAGUUAUGCAGAUACCCGGAGGAGAGACCUAGCGUUUGAGAAAGGCGACCGGGCGUUUCUUAAGGUCACUCCUUUCAAGGAAAUUAGUAGGUUCGGCAGGACGGGAAAAUUAAACCCCCGGUAUAUUGGACCCUUUGAAAUCUUAGACAGGAUUGGUACUGCUAUCUACAGACUAGCACUGCCUCCAGAGCUCUCCAGAGUCCACAACGUGUUCCACGUAUCCAUGCUACGUAAGUACAACCCGGACCCUUCUCAUGUCUUGGCUCAUGAACCGCUUCCACUCCAAGAGGACUUGUCUUAUGAAGAAGUACCAGUCGGUAUCACGGACCAAAAGAGUAGAAUACUCCGCAACCGAGAAAUACCAUUUGUAAAGGUCGUGUGGCAGAACCACACGCCCAGGGAGGCUACUUGGGAGCUGGAAUCAGAAUUUAGAGCCCAGUAUCCCCAUUUGUUCGACCAAAAGUAAGAGGCAAAUUUGGGGGGUAAAAAUUUCUUCAAGGGGGGGAGAGUUGUAACACCCGAAGUGUAUUAUUAUUAUUAUUUUUUUUUCAAUUUAUUUUAUUUAUUUUAUUUUGUAAUUAUUGGAAUUUUAUUUGAUUUUUUAUUUAAUUUAAUUUAAUUUGAUUUAAUUUAAUGAAAAUAAAAAUAAUAAUAAUGAUAAAAUUGGGUAAAAAUAUUAUUUGGAUUUAAUUAAAAUUUAUUUUGGGAAAAAGGGGUGAAAAUUUGAAUUAUGGGGGUGUUUUUGAAAAGAAAAUCGGAAACCAGAGGUCAAAACACAAUUUAGAAAAGUUGUGCCAUGUCGCACCACGUCAGCAGCCCGGUCAGCAACCCCAGCCAACCAGGACGCGCCGCGUGGCAAGGAAACGCUGACCAGGGGACGGGCCACAUGGGCGAUCCGCGUGCGCGCGAUCGGACGGCCUAGAUCCGUUCCCGUGCGCACGGACGGCCCAGAUCAAACGUGCGCACAGACGGCCCAGAUUCACGCGCACGGACGGCCCAAAUUCAAUCAGGCACGCACAGCCCAGAUUGCUUCCCGAUGGACGGUUGAGAUUAAAAGACAAACGGGUAUAAAUACCCCCACCCACACUGACUAAAGAAACCCUAGCCGCCAGUGCUCGCCGAAGAAGAAGAACCAGACGUCGGAGGAGCCGGUCGCCGCCACCCGCCGCCGCACCGGGGAAGUUUUCGACCGCCGAUCGAGGUAAAUUUUCUCCUCCUUGCUCGUUUUUCGACGCUGAGUCCCUAUGGCCAAACCGGAGCCAAACCACCGGCCAAACGGCCGAAAAACCUAGCCAAAACCCAGCGGCGCCGCCGCGUCCCUCCUCGGUUUUUGCCUCCGAUGAGGCCCUUCCCAGCCUCCGUUUGAUGCAAAUUUUAUACCACUGUGAUCACUGUUCUUUUCUCUACAGGUUGAUCGGAGCCAAAAAUUAAAACGCGACUCACGCCGGAGGAACAGCCGCACCCGAGAGCACUGCUACCGGUAAGUUUUGGUUUUUCGUGAUUUUUCGGCCCACCGAGGGCCCUAGGGUUGUUCUAUUGCAGGGACCGAUGUAAGCGUGGCCGAAAACGGCCAACCCGAGGAGAAUCGCCGCUGCUUGCGGCGUCGUCGCCGGAGCACGGCGAAGCUGCCGUGCCACAAUUGCGAUAUUGGCCGAAAGGGGCCCUAGGUCUAAUUUGGGAUUUUUUGGGACACGUGCAAGUACCAGUAGUGCGUUUCAGUUUCCUGGAAAAAAUUCAGGGAAAAUUAGGAACAGCUUGUAGGUGCACUGUAGAGCCGUAUUCAGGCCCCGAAACAAGUAAGGACCCCUCACCCUAUUUUCUAUCACGGUAUUAAAGUUCAAUAAAUGAUAAAACGGUAUUUCAUGAAUCAAUAGAUGUGUGAAAUUGUUUAAGGUCGCUAAUGGAGCCCGAGUCUUGUGUAUUUGUCGGUCAGUUGUUGUUUGUUCUAUUUUACAGUUUUAAAUGCAGUAUGAUCUCUGAUGUUUUCAUUUCAUAGUUUUGUGUGCAUAUAUCACUGUUUUAUUGAUUAUGGGUUGAAUGACUGAGAACCCGAUGUUGUGUGUUGUCUUGUUUAGCAUAAACUACUGGUUUGCAUGUUUGUGUGUGAUUUGAUGAUGCUGACUGAGGAAAAAAGGAAUAAAAGGUUACGUGAAUUGAUAAAUGGAUAAUGUGGACAGCCUGACUAGAUAUCCUGGGAGAUGGUGGACAGACCAGGUCCGUAGGGAACCCUACCAGGAACGUGGUCUCUCAUACCGGACGGGGUAUGGAGACCUUCUGUGUUUUGGCACCCAUACCGGACAGGGUAUGGGGACGGCCCGUUUCACCCUCAUACCGGACGGGGUAUUGAGGUUCAUGGUUUUGGUGCCCAUACCGGACGGGGUAUGGGGACGGCUCUGGAAUCAGGUUAUAAAUGUUAUGGGUUCACGGGUAGCGGGACCCCUAUGGAUCCCCAUGGAUACUAGUAGGUUGGUAAAUGAGGAAAAUAUGUUGUUUAAUAAUUGAAAUGCAAAGGCGUGGUAAGUGUUAUGUUAUAAAGUCUAUAUGACUUCAUGAUGAUGAUAAUGUUAUUGCUUUCAUAUGUUAUUUUCAUGAAUCUCACUGAGGUAAGUGGAUAGUAAAGGUUUUUGUGUUAAUAAAUGAGUUUGUUAUAAAUUAUGCUCCAUUGGUCAUUUUUGUUUUCUACCCACCUUUACUUCCGUGGCGAUGAGAUAGUGUGAUGUCUUUACUGGGCUGGUGUAGUUCAUUCCUUAUUUAACCAUUUCAGAUCAGGAAGACAUUGUUCCCGAGCCCGUUCUGCAGGAAGACGGCGAAGGGGACGCCUAAAGACUCCGUAGUUAUAUUUAUAGUUCUUAUUUUCGAGUAUCUCUUUUAGUUAGUUUGUUCUUUUAUAUUUUGAGCACGUUUUUGGUUUUUGUGUAAGGGAUGUUAAUCAAAAUUUUUAUUACGCUUCUGCAUUUGAUAUUUUUAAUACACAUAUUUCAUUCUAAAUUUCCAGGGCCGUUACAGUAGAUAUCUGAUAGGACCACUAUAGUUGGUACAGUCGUGGUCAUAAAUCGUACCAUGGUUUAGCCAAUCAGAAUUAUUCCUGAGAAAAUUGUCGUUAUCUGUAUCUGAUCUGGUCAUUCCACAUGGGUAGUUGAAAAUUUGUAUCUGCCUUCAGAGAUGGAAGUUGUAACGACUUCGCGAAGCAUGACAUAAAAAUCUGAGCAUUUCAUGAUUUAUUUUAUUUUUUCUAUUAUCUAGCAUGAUGUAUGUUUGUUUGAUUAUAUUAACAUACUAUUUUUCUAAUAAAUAAAUUAUUUUCAUAAUGUAAGAUAGGUCUACUUAAUAGCCAAAUGAUAAGUAUUUAUAUUAGAAUAAUUCACUUUUAAAACCUUACGAUGUUAUUUAAAUAUUAUUUUCUUUACUGACCAUAUGGAACUCACUCUUUCCAUGCGCUCUCCAAAUGAGGAAGAAAAUGAUGAACCACAUACUAACCUACCCCUAGAAGUCUAUGAGGAUCCCGUGGAUCCACAAAACUUGAGUGCAUGAUUGUUCCCACACUCUAAUGAGUCUAAUAGCAUAGUGAAAGAAGUGGCAUUCUUUUGUGUUUUGAUUUUGUAAUUUAUAGCAACUUCUGGCCUCAGUUAUAUGUAUGUAAUUGGAACCAUAUAUAUUUGUAGGAGAUUUAUAUUAAUUAGUUCCGCUGCAUAAACUUUUAUUAUGCACUCAUUCUUCUAUUUUUAUAUCUGACACCCAUUUGCCUUGAUUAGCACUUGGGAUGUCACAUCCUGAGUGUUGUCACCUUAACCGUCCUAUCUCUCAAGAUAUUGUAGAAUUUAAGGGACUAAACUCUCCUCACUUCAACGACGGUCCCAAUUCUAUGGUCGCUGAAGUCUGGACCCAAGAAAUAGAGAAGCUCUUUAUAGUACUGGAUGUAACGAAAGAGCAGAAAGUUUCCUUGGCUACUUUCAUGUUUACUGGAGAAGCAGCUCACUGGUGGCGUGUGAAGAAGGAUUUAUUACCGACUCCUACCACCUAGGAAAUAUUUAUGGAUGCCUUCUAUGAGAAUUUCUUUCCAACUUAUAUAUGGGAUAAGAAGGAAGAGGAAUUUAUAGAACUCCGACAAGGGAACCUGACAGUUACCCAGUAUACAGCUAAGUUUAUUCAGUUGUCAAGAUUUGCUCCACUGUUGGUGCCAACUAAAGUCCGAAAGCCCCAAAAGUUCUUUAAGGGUCUUAGCCCAAAUAUUUUUUAUCGAGUCGCCAUGUCUAAUCCCACUUUCUAUGGUGAGGUGCUAGAGAAUGCACAGUUGGCUGAACACCUUAUCUCAGCCAGUAACCAGCACAUCAACCACUUUUGUAGUCAGCAGCAUUAGCAGCAGAAGAGAAGAUUCCUUGACUUUGGCCUUUACCACCCAAAUAAGACACCUCGUGUUGUCCCAGCCCCUACCGCUUUACCCCCUCUUACCAGAGAUCUUAUUCAAACUUCUCCUACUUGUCGACAUUGUGGUCACUACCAUGGUGACAGCCCUGUUGACGUCUAAACCACUCCUAUUUCAAGUGUAGGAGUACACAACAUUUGGUGAAGGAUUGCCCUUAGAGGGCCAAGGACCUCGCUAGACCUGUUGCCCAGGGAUGCGUUUACCACAUGGAUGAGCCUGAUGUUCCCACCACUCCUGCUAUCAUUCAGGGUAUGUUUUUUGUUCAUAAUACUACCAUACAUGGUUUGAUUGAUAUAAGUGCCACUCACUCUUUCGUAUCUUAUAAUUUUGCUUGUAAAUUAGACCUUAGGCUGGAACCCCUAGGAAAUAUUUUAGUUGUAGGAACACUCUGUAAGGGGAUUAUUAAAAGAUUUUUAUUUAUAUAAAAGUUGUGAAGUAAAUACUUAAGAGAAAGAACUCACUGUAGAUCUAAUACUACUAGACUUUUGAGGGUUUGAUGUAAUCCUAUAUAUGGACUGGUUAGGAAAAUAUGAGGUAAUUAUUGAUUGUGAGACUAAAAUUGUAAAACUACGUUCACCUAGGCAGUAAACUUGUUUUGUUUUGUAAAAGUUAUAAAUAGAGAGUGUUUUCUUUUGAAAAUUUUUGUUGCUUUGCUCACCUUAGGUUGGACAGGAACAUGGAUUGUAACUCGACAAUUUCUUCGAUCCCCGUUACAUGUAAUUUCCUAGAUGUCUUUCUGGAGGAGCUAUUAGGCCUACCUCCCAAAUGGGAGAUAUAGUUUUUGGUUUACCUAAUUCCAAGUACCCAAUCAAUUUCAAAACCCCUAUAUCGCAUGAGUCAUGCAAAAGUUAUUGAAUUAAAACACAAGCUUUUCAAAACUAUAGGGACUAAAGUUCAUCUGCGGCAAUCAUUUCCCUUGGGGUGUGCUUGCCUUGUUCACCAAAAAGAAGGAUGGAUCCCUCCACAUGUGUAUUAACUACUAUGAACUCAAUUAGGUGACCAUAAAGAGUAAGUACCAUCUGCCCGCAUACAUGAUUUGUUCGACCAGUUGCAAGGUGCUUCUUUGUUUUUAAAGAUUGAUCUCCAAUCUAGCUACCAUCAGUUAAGAGUAAAGGAAAAGGACAUUCUUAAAAUGGUCUUUUGCUGUAGGUAUGGCCAAUUUGAGUUUAGAGUUAUGCCCUUUCGACUGAAAAAUGCCCCCGCAACAUUUAUGGACUUGAUGAACAGAGUUUUUCGCCAUGCACUAGAUCAAUGCAUCAUCAUCUUCAUUAGUGACAUCCUAGUGUACUCAAAAAGCUUAGAGGAGCAUGUCGAUCACCUGACCCAUGUCAUGAUCACUCUUCGUUAGCACCACCUUUACGCCAAGUUUAGUAAGUGUUCCCUUUGGUUGAACUGGGUAUCUUUUCUUGGCCAUGAGAUUUCUGGCAAUGGGGUUUCUAUUGAUCCCUCUAAAGUCAAGGCUAUUGUGACUUGGAACUAGCCAAACAAUGUUGCUGAGAUCCAUUACUCCCUUGGUCUGGCCAGCUAUUACUGAUGCUUUAUUAAAGAUUUUCUAAGAUUGCUGCCCCUUUGACUCUCCUUAUUAAGAAAUGAGUAGUCUUCCAUUGGGAUGAAGAAUGUGAAGAAUCUUUUAUGAAAUGGAAGUGUUGACUCUGCUCCAGUGUUCAUCCUCCCUGACAACACAAGAAGUGUUCAGGUAUUCUGUGAUGCUUCCCAUGCUGGUUUGGAUUUUGUCCUUAUGCAACAUGAACGAGUAGUUGCAUAGGGUUUCAGACAGCUCAAAAUCCACAAGCACAACCACACUCAUGACCUUGAGUUGGCAGCCAUUGUGUAUGCCUUGAAGGCUAUUGGACUGUGCGCAUGGUAGCCGUGCCUCCUCCUUGGCCAACUGACAUGAAUGAUGCAAUGAUAGUGUCAUCAUUUUCUCUCUCCUCACAGAUUUAUGACACUUGUCCUAAAUAUGACAAUUAUAUUUUUCUAUAAAUAAAGACCUUCUCCACCCUUCUUCCUUACCCAUUUUCACCCUCAAGACCAAAAUUCUAGAGAGAAAAAGUUAUAGAGAGUAAGAAGAAAAGGGAGAAGUAAAAGUGGACUCGCUUAUAAUGAGUUGUUGGUAAUCAGUAAGGGAUUCGGUAUUUUCUUGCAUAUUUUAAGAGGCAUUUCUAGAAAAAUAUUGAAGUAAAUAUUAAUUUUAUUGCAUAGUUUGUGGCAUGAUUUUAAGGGUGUGAUUAGUUUUUACUUAUAACGUUGUUUUAAAUACAUACAUUGUGUAAAGGCUUCAUUGUUAUUUCAGGAACAAGAAUUGAAAUAUAAUUGAAAUAAGAAUGAAUUAUGUGAAAUUAUUGACAUGGCAUGAAAACAUGAAUGUGUACAUGAAACAUAAAAUAAUUCGUUAUACUAUUUUAUCUACUUCUAUUGUCCCCACCAUGUCUAGAAAGACAUGAGAUGACCACUCCCUCUGGAUGAUGCCAUGAAAGCACGUAGGAGAUCUUAGGACCACUGUGGCAAAGUAUGGCUAUGGUCAUUGUCUUUAGGACCACAGUGGUUGUCAUGGUCGGGGUCAUAAAUCGUGUUAUUGUGUGGUGAGCUACAAAUCAGCUAUGGUGUAGUGAGUUACAAAUUUGUUGUGGUCACCGUAAUUCUAUUUACUAAUUUAUAAACACUUGCACUUAUACUUUUUAAUAAUUGUACAUACUUAUCACUUCAAUAAAUUAUCUUCCUUUCUGUUAUGUAGUUCCAUGUUCAUAACAAGUCAUUCCCAUACUCAUAAAUAAUUAUCAUCAUAAUAGAUUCCUAUUGAGAUGUCAUGCAAAUCAAUCAGACUUAAUCAUUUAUCAUAUGCCAUUCCAUUCUAGAAUUAGAUUUUUAUGUACUUUUAAAUUUCAUCAUGCGAUGCUCUUUUUACUAGCAUCAUCAAUGUUCCUUAGGGAUCUCCUCUACAUGUGGAUACUCGAAAUAUUUUCAUGACAAACCAUCAGUCAUCUUCAUACCUCAACCUAUAUGAUUGCUAUAAACAUUAGCCAUUCUCACCCUUUUACUUAGGAAAGUGCCAUAAAUAUCGACCGUCCUCACCCCUCAACCUAGGUGAGCGCCAUAAGUAUUGGUCAUCUUUAUACCUCAACCUAUAUGGGCACCAUAAACAUUGGUUGUCCUCAUCCCUCAACCUAGGUGAAGCACCAUAAAUAUUAGUUGUAUCCAAAUUAGGGUUCCCUACACAGAUUUUUAAUUGCUUUGUUGUAUACUUUCAUCACUAUUAUGGAUGAUCAAUCAGUUACCAUACAUUAUGUAUAGGUACACAUACUUAUCACUAGUUCUCCAUGCACCUGAACAUGGAAUAGUAUACAUGAGUACCUUGAAACACUGCCACCCCUCAAACAUGGAAUAGUCAGGGCACGCAGACCACAUUAAUUCCCCAUGCAACUGAACAUGAAAUGACAUUUAUGGGUGCACACUUAUCACUUUGUCAAUACACUCGAAUAUGGAACGACAUGUAUAGGCACACUGAAGCCUAACAUAAUACAGGUGCUUUCGAAAUAACUCAUUUCUAUAAUGAGUGAUGCAAACAUACCAAAAUCAUAUUUUUAAAACAAAAGAUGAAGUAACACUCAUAUUGAAGUACAACGUUAACAACUACUUCACAUACGAAAGUACAAAUAAAAUAUUUUUCAAAAAUAUCUAAUUCAUAAUAUCACAACAUCUACUUGCACAAUUUUGUUCUGCUAAAAAUAUGUAAAAUAUUUUAAAGUUAUGUAGCUUAAUGAAUCUAUAAUACCCACUUACCUUAGGUGUUAAACAAUUCUAUUUCAAACCUUUUUUUCUAUCUAUUGGUUUACGAAUUCCUUUAUAAUAGUUCUAGCAUGAUUUGGGUCACUUUCUUUCUCACAUUUUAUAACCUUUUUUUGAUUAUGAGCGUUCUUCCUCUUCUCUUCCUUCUUCUUUGUUCUCACAAAUUUCGUAGAGUUUUUUCCUAGAUUUUUAUCUAAAAAAUUCAUAAUAGUCUCAAUAAAAUCACACGUUUCACAUUUUUCUUCUUCUAUCACCUCUAUGCUUUUCACCCUUUCUCUACCAUCCACAAUGUCUUUUCCUUAAUUCCCCAAUCCCCUAUUUAUAAAAGUGGAGAGUCAUGAAAGAUAGGUUGCCACCCUUCCACCAUGUCACUUCAUCUAAAAGUUAUCACCUUUCAUUAUGCCACUUCAUCUAAAAGUUGUCACUUUUUAUUAUGCCAUUUUAUCUAAAAGGUUCCUCCUUUUUUCAUGUCUUUUCAUGCUUAUUCUAAAUUCUUCUGCACUCUUCCAUUUGCUUCCUCAUCUUUAUCCAUCAUUUUCUCAUUUGACUCCAAAUUUGAGUUGAAAUAGAGCCCAUUAAACUCCUUUAGGCCUACCUAAACCCAUAAGGUCCAAAUAGCAAACCAUUAUAAAACUAUCUACAUGUCUCUUAGUUUUUCUUUCCGUUUGACUCUAGACUAUGUCAUUAACCAUAUUACAUAUCUCUAAAUACAUAUAAAUGCUAAAUAAAAUAUAUUAAACGUAAAAAAUUAACUCGGGGUAUUUUCGAGUUAUCACAAGUCAUUCUCAUACCUCAACCUAUAUGGGCACCAUAAACACAAUUGCUCUCACUCCUCAAUCUAGGUAAGAGUCAUAAAUAUUUUUUCGUAUCCAUAGUAGGGUUCACCGCACAUAAUCAUCACAUUUAUCUACCAACUCAUAUACAAAUGUAGCCGACCUUACCCUAUUGAAUGUAUUUUGGAUAGAUACAUACUUGUCUAGAUAUAUAAGAUCUUAAAUACAAAAAUAUAAGAUUAAACACAACUCAAAUUUUCUAUUGUUAUUGUUGUGUUGGGUCCACAAUUAAUCAUAUAUAUGAUAUGGAUUCUUAGGAUUGGUGUAUUCUUUUCUAUCCUGAGUUUCGACUCAUGAGUCGAUCCAAGUAUCAUAACUUCUUCUACCUAUCUUGUAUGUUGUCCUUUUCAUUCCGCGUUGAAAUAAAAACUUAUAAAUGGACUUAUUCAUCUUUCUAAAUGAAAUAGAUGUAUAAUAAUCCACUUUUUUUAUUAUUUAUUAUUAUUAUUAUUCUAUUUUGUCUUCUAAUUUGAAUUAAUAAAGAAAGAAUUUAUUCCAUUACAAAUUCGCGAAAGAUUUAUAAGAAUCUGAUCCAACAACAGAAUUUUUAUUAAUAAGUAUGGAAUUGUAAGAAGAUGUAAGACUCUAUAUCUAUAUUUUCAUUUUCUAUAUUUCUCUAUUUGAAUUAUAUAUACAUACAUAAAAGAGGAAGAUGAAAUUCUUUUAUUUGCCUCGACUAAUUAAUUACAAUUGCACGGAAGGAAGAAUUUGCUUUUGAUCUUGUUGAUAGGGAUUUACUGAUUCGUAAGAAGUAAUAUCGGUAAACAAAAAAUAAAUAAUUAUUUGCAUGAUUCUUUAUACAAUUCAAUCUUAUGUCACCAAAGAAAAAUCCAUUCUUCGGGGUUUACUUUGAUUCUGAGAACCUAACUACUUUGCUCUAUUUGAUUGAAUUUUGAUUCAAAAAAUAAAUAAUUAUUCGCAUGAUUCUUUCUACAAUUCAAUCUUAUGUUACCAUAUACAUUAUUUAAAUACUCUGUUUACAUAUAAAGUUUACCUAUAGUUCAUACAUGUAUAAAUACGACUCAUAACAUAUAUACGUGCACACACCACAACAUACAAAUAUGUAUAUCAAGCACAUGUUCAACAUAUUAAGCAAACAACAUAAAUACUUCUAAUUUACAUCUACACCAUAUUGUUAUAUAAUCAUGUAUGCAAACCACACACCAUAUCUAUUUUCGUACAGAUUUACACAUGUAUAGUUUAAGUACAUACCUAUUCUCAUUUUAUACUGUAAACAUUAAUUUAUUUGUACCAUACUUAAAUACGAAUGGCAAGCAUACAUACAAUUUAGUAAUAUUCAUACAUUCAACAAGCACGCAUGAUAACAUUCAUACACAUGCUGAGUUUAUGGAAAACAUUUAAAGAACUUAAACAAUUUGUAAACUCUGUACAUAUUUCAUUUCAAAUAAAACAAAAUUUUAUAAAAACAUGAGAGCCUUUGAAUGAGACUAACUCAAUCCCUUAUCUACAAUCUAAUUAGAAAAUAUUUUAGAAUCCUUAUUGGUUCAGGUUUACAGCCCUCCCUACUCUAGUUACCACUCGAUUAGUUUUCUCGUUAACAAACAAAAAACACACGCAUUAAAUGAUAAAAACUUUCAAAAAUAGAUAUAACAAUAAGGAGAAUAGAUUUUUACCUUAGACACAUGAUCCUGAUCUUUGGCGUCACCACGCACCACCACACGUGCAUCACCAAGAUCACUACAUGUUGCUGUAUGUGCCACCGCCGAAAGCACCACACAUUGCCUCAUGUGCAACCGUCAAAGUGGCAUAUGUCACCUCACGCUCUAGCCAGGAAUCAACGUAGAAUUUGAUGAUUAUUUCAUAUCUAGGAUGAAUCUACUCUGAAAUUACUGCAUAUGGCUACAACUCCUCUCCUCAGGAAUACCAAUGCCCUCGAGUUCUUAUCAUCAAGCUAGUUUUCUUCUUCUGCCAUGUAUAAAGGUGAUCAUUUAGAUCUAGCUCACCCCACGUCGUGCUACACAAUCCUAUUCACUGCGUGCUCUCGAGUCGCACCUCCUUUCUCCAUGUAGAUCCAAUUGCGCCAAGGGAAAAUAUAUCACUACCAUCGUAUAUGCAUCUUUCUCACCUAUGUAUGGGCUGAUGUUUUUCAUCUUUUUCUUCUUAUGCUUUAGCUUCCAGAGGCGUGUAUGCCUUUAGUUGCUUUUUCUUAAUUUUUUUUAACUUUUAUUUUACGAAAAUGGUGUUGUUCUGGGGUUUGCCAAAAUGAUGUCAUUUUGGCCUUGUAUGAAGGAGAUGGGCUAGGUUCUAUUUUUCCUAGCUUGGGUGUUACAUUUUUCUAUUAUAAUUCAGUUAAUUUUUCAUAAAAUUUUUCUCUGUUGUGAUUUUUGUAAUAACCCAAUUUUUUAAGUAUUAUUUAAUUUAUUAAAACUAAAAAAAUAAGUUAAAAAUAGAGAGAUAAAUUAAAAAGAAUCUAAAAAAUAUUAAAAUAUAUAAAAAUAGAAAUAAAUCCGAUAAAAAUAUAAAAAUGAAUUUUAAGAUUUUAGAAAUAUAAAAUAAAUUUUUAAGGACCUAAAUAAAACGAAAUUAAAAUUUUAGGGCCUUUAUGUAAUUAAAAAGGACCAAAAUGAAUUAGAUAUUAAAAAAAUGGGGUCUAAAUUGAACUUUAAGAAGUAUUGGACAGCUCAACGAAUGAGGUGUCAAGAUGAGCCAUGUCAUUUAGCCACGCGUGCAGACAGGUGGUAGGGUCGAGGGAUGAAUGGCGCAAAUUUUGCUUUACAAAUCUGACGGUUCCCUAAAACUCAUAUACGAGCUUCAUUUUUCAGCUCUUUAAGAGGAAAGGAGAACCCUAGUCGCAAGGGGAGCCCAAGUGACUUUGGGGUCGAGAGAGGAAAGAGAGAUAUGGGCAAAGGAGAGAAGGGAGAGAGAGAUGUUGGCUGCCGAUCUAUGCACGCCACGUAGUCCUGUGUACGUGGAGGGAGGAGAAGGGAGAUGCAACGGGAGGACGAACGAUAAUCGAGGAGAGUUAGUUGUGCGAAAGAAGAAAAAAAAAAGAAGAAGAAGAAGACGAAAAAAAAAGAAGAAUAAAAAGAAAAAGAAGAAGAAGGAGAAGAAGAAAAAAAAAAUGGACACCUGGAGAGGACUGACCAAUGGUCACGCCACAUGCGUUUGUGAGCCGAAGGAACCGAGAGAAGAAGGGGGUACGACAUGCGGUCAGAUAAAGAAAUCUAUGCACAGUGGCCAGGACUCGAGUGAUGCAAUCAGGGUGCUGCGGGCAGUGUGAGAAGUGUCAAGUGCGAUGUCGAGCUUGUUCUAGUUGGAGGAAGGAUGACGCGAUCUGAUUGAGCAAGAUUGUUUUCUAUUUGAAAUUUUGUAAGAGUAGUUUAUUACUCAAAAUCCCCAUAUUUGAAAUAAUAUAGUGAUUUGGAUUCUUUGGCUGAGUAGAUGAUAUGAUAUUGUGUGGAGAUUAGUUAUUUUGAGAAUGAUGACAUUAAAAAAUCUGGAAUGCAUUCUGUAUAUGACGAUGUAGUGAGAUAAGAGCUUCAUUUUUCAUAUAAGAGCUGUAGGAGAACCCUAUCCGCAAGGGGAGCUCAAACGGCGUCAGGGCCGAGAGAGGGAAGAGAGAGAUGCGACAGAGGAGAGAAGAGAGAGAGACAUGUUGGCCACCGAUUUGUGCACGCCUCCUAGACCCGUGCAUGCGAUGGAAGGCGAAGAGAGAUACAGCAAGCGGAUGAACAACAAUCGAGGAGAGUUGGCCACGCAAAAGAAGAAGAAAAAAAAAAGAGAGACAUGGGCAGAGGACUGACCGGCUACCACGCAGUGUGUAUUUGUGAGCUAGAGGAACUGAGAGAAGAAGGGGUGCAGUGCGCGGUCAGAGAAGGAAAUCUAUGUGUGGUGGCUAGGGGCCACACAACGUAAUUAGGGUGUUGUGCGCAUUGCAAGAAGUGUUAGGUAUAGUGUCGAGCUUGUUCUGGCUGGAGGAAGGGUUAUGCCUUCUGAUCCGAGUGAGCUUCUUUUGUGUU
Molecule: long non-coding RNA, 17054 nt
Filed under: Carica papaya (papaya)
Lineage: Eukaryota; Viridiplantae; Streptophyta; Magnoliopsida; Brassicales; Caricaceae
Description: long non-coding RNA (CPAP_LNC009858)
Source: RNAcentral